This 422-nucleotide ribosomal RNA is filed under the name uncultured bacterium. Its description in RNAcentral is "bacterial SSU rRNA". It matches the Rfam family "Bacterial small subunit ribosomal RNA", at positions 362 to 776 of the family's 1533-position model. The record is from RNAcentral.
UAUUGCACAAUGGGCGAAAGCCUGAUGGAGCAACGCCGCGUGGGUGAAGAAGGUCUUCGGAUCGUAAAACCCUGUUGUUAGAGAAGAANNUGCGUGAGAGUAACUGUUCACGUUUCGACGGUAUCUAACCAGAAAGCUACGGCUAACUACGCUCCAGCAGACGCGGUAAUACGUAGGUGGCAAGCGUUAUCCGGAUUUAUUGGGGGGAAAGAGAACGCAGGCGGUCUUUUAAGUCUGAUGUGAAAGCCUUCGGCUUAACCGGAGUAGUGCAUUGGAAACUGGGAGACUUGAGUGCAGAAGAGGAGAGUGGAACUCCAUGUGUAGCGGUGAAAUGCGUAGAUAUAUGGAAGAACACCAGUGGCGAAAGCGGCUCUCUGGUCUGUAACUGACGCUGAGGUUCGAAAGCGUGGGUAGCAAACAGG